Molecule: ribosomal RNA, 253 nt
Filed under: uncultured bacterium
Lineage: Bacteria
Description: partial 16S ribosomal RNA
Rfam family: Bacterial small subunit ribosomal RNA
Source: RNAcentral
UACGAAGGGGGCUAGCGUUGUUCGGAAUCACUGGGCGUAAAGCGCACGUAGGCGGAUCUUUAAGUCAGGGGUGAAAUCCCGAGGCUCAACCUCGGAACUGCCUUUGAUACUGGGGAUCUCGAGUCCGGGAGAGGUGAGUGGAACUGCGAGUGUAGUGGUGAAAUUCGUAGAUAUUCGCAAGAACACCAGUGGCGAAGGCGGCUCACUGGCCCGGAACUGACGCUGAGGUGCGAAAGCGUGGGGAGCAAACAGG